Molecule: non-coding RNA, 72 nt
Organism: Pelobates cultripes (western spadefoot toad)
Lineage: Eukaryota; Metazoa; Chordata; Amphibia; Anura; Pelobatidae
Source: the annotation of a GenBank genome assembly
GGGUGCAUAGCUCAGUGCUAGAGCAUCUCACUGCAAAUCAAGAGGUCGAAGGUUCAAAUCCUUCUGAACCCU